Molecule: ribosomal RNA, 482 nt
Filed under: uncultured bacterium
Lineage: Bacteria
Description: partial 16S ribosomal RNA
Rfam family: Bacterial small subunit ribosomal RNA
Source: RNAcentral
AUUGAACGCUGGUGGCAUGCCUUACACAUGCAAGUCGAACGGUAACGGGCCUUCGGGUGCCGACGAGUGGCGAACGGGUGAGUAAUACAUCGGAACGUGCCCGAUCGUGGGGGAUAACGAGGCGAAAGCUUUGCUAAUACCGCAUACGAUCUACGGAUGAAAGCCGGGGACCGCAAGGCCUUGCGCGGACGGAGCGGCCGAUGGCAGAUUAGGUAGUUGGUGGGAUAAAAGCUUACCAAGCCGACGAUCUGUAGCUGGUCUGAGAGGAUGAUCAGCCACACUGGGACUGAGACACGGCCCAGACUCCUACGGGAGGCAGCAGUGGGGAAUUUUGGACAAUGGGCGCAAGCCUGAUCCAGCCAUGCCGCGUGCAGGAUGAAGGCCUUCGGGUUGUAAACUGCUUUUGUACGGAACGAAAAGCCUUCUUUUAAUACAGGAGGGUCAUGACGGUACCGUAAGAAUAAGCACCGGCUAACUACGUG